RNAcentral lists this ribosomal RNA (492 nucleotides) under uncultured bacterium. RNAcentral's name for it is "partial 16S ribosomal RNA". It matches the Rfam family "Bacterial small subunit ribosomal RNA", at positions 29 to 507 of the family's 1533-position model. The record is from RNAcentral.
AGUGAACGCUGGCGGUAGGCCUAACACAUGCAGGUCGAACGGCAGCACAGUAAGAGCUUGCUCUUACGGGUGGCGAGUGGCGGACGGGUGAGGAAUACAUCGGAAUCUACUUUUUCGUGGGGGCUAACGUAGGGAAACUUGCGCUAAUACCGCAUACGACCUACGGGUGAAAGCAGGGGAUCUUCGGACCUUGCGCGAUUGUAUGAGCCGAUGUCGGAUUAGCUAGUUGGCGGGGUAAAGGCCCACCAAGGCGACGAUCCGUAGCUGGUCUGAGAGGAUGAUCAGCCACACUGGAACUGAGACACGGUCCAGACUCCUACGGGAGGCAGCAGUGGGGAAUAUUGGACAAUGGGCGCAAGCCUGAUCCAGCCAUACCGCGUGUGUGAAGAAGGCCUUCGGGUUGUAAAGCCCUUUUGUUGGGAAAGAAAAGCAGCAGGUUAAUACCCCGCUGUUCUGACGGUACCCAAAGAAUAAGCACCGGCUAACUUCGUG